UUGGGUGCGGUUAUUGUGAGGACUCCAUCGGAGGACAGACUCGAGGUGACAUCUGAGACUUUGUGGGUUGACGGCAGGAGAUAUCGUCUUACAAAGUGUCGGCUGAUGUAGCCGUGCUCAUCCUGCUUUUCCUCGUGUUUUGCCUCGACAAUAACAUUAUUGUCGAUUGUCUUCACUGUGAUUUCCUCAGGGGCGAAUUGCUGCACGUCCAGUAUCACCUAUGAAUCAACCCAGCGUGAAUAAGAAGAAACUGAAUCCAAUCACGAUAGUACAUCAGUAAAAUUUCAUCAGGAAAUCGCCAUGAAGACAUUACUAUAUUCAUCUUCACCCGAUCGCGAAUAGCGUUGGAGUUAAAAUUCAGUUGAUUACGGUUUGAAACGUUGAGCAGCUUUGCAAGCUCGCAAAAUGUAGUUUCAGGACUCGCCUGCUUGUCUAAAUAUCACCGGUAGAUGCAAGUAAGGCGUAUAAAUCAUUAUUAAGUUUUUUUACAUCGUUUAUGUAUCACAUUUUUAUUGCUAGCAGUAAUAUAUGAGAGAAUGAAUAGGUCAAUUUCCAAAUAUGCGGCUGAAGUCAUAAAAAGUACCGCGACAAAUCACACGUCGUAUGAUUAUUUUUACCAUACUUCUAUGAUAGAUUUAAAUCAUUCGAAACAGAAUUAUACAUAUAUGUAUGCAUGUAGGUAUAUACAUAUACAUAAAGAUGAAUAUCUAAGAGAAAUAGGCAGUUAUUCGUAAAUUUUCAAGGGGAAAAAAAGUUAAUGAAAACAAAACAUUUGUAAGUGGAUGAAUCGAAAUUGAUUUUCAUCAUAUAGUUAUGUACAAAGUAUUACGCGAUAUUGUACAUUUAUUUUUCUAUACAGAAUAUUUUAUUAAUUGAUAAAAA
Molecule: long non-coding RNA, 882 nt
Organism: Athalia rosae (coleseed sawfly)
Lineage: Eukaryota; Metazoa; Arthropoda; Insecta; Hymenoptera; Athaliidae
Exons: 2
Source: RefSeq, a predicted model, not a curated record